RNAcentral lists this transfer RNA (74 nucleotides) under Treponema socranskii. Its description in RNAcentral is "tRNA-Ile". It matches the Rfam family "tRNA". From Rfam's summary of the family: Transfer RNA (tRNA) molecules are approximately 80 nucleotides in length. Their secondary structure includes four short double-helical elements and three loops (D, anti-codon, and T loops). Lineage: Bacteria; Pseudomonadati; Spirochaetota; Spirochaetia; Treponematales; Treponemataceae. RNAcentral also lists the same sequence under 2 other names. The record is from RNAcentral.
GGGCCAUUAGCUCAGUCGGUUAGAGCAGAGGACUCAUAAUCCUUUGGUCCCCGGUUCAAGUCCAGGAUGGCCCA